Molecule: long non-coding RNA, 259 nt
Organism: Xenia sp. Carnegie-2017
Lineage: Eukaryota; Metazoa; Cnidaria; Anthozoa; Malacalcyonacea; Xeniidae
Exons: 2
Source: RefSeq, a predicted model, not a curated record
CACUUCAACAGCAAUUUGGACAGGGAUAAUCAGAGGUUAAUGGAGUUCCCCAGGUUAAAGUGCAUUAUCCAAAAUUUAAAAAUGGUGAAGCUGUUGUAAGAAAUGUAAAAGUUGCUCAGGAUUUUGGGUAUGUUGAAGAUAUUUAUCAAGUGUUGUGCUCUGCACUCAUUGAUGAGGAAACAUUGAGAAAAGCCAAAGGUGAUCUUUUACGAAUGACUCCAUUGCCAAUGAAUUCCAUGUUGGACAAGCAAUCAAAAAG